Non-coding RNA from Acanthosepion pharaonis, 106 nucleotides. Lineage: Eukaryota; Metazoa; Mollusca; Cephalopoda; Sepiida; Sepiidae. The record is from the annotation of a GenBank genome assembly.
CUUGCAGCCAUAUCAUAUUGAAAUACUGGUUCUCGUAUGAUCACUGAAGUUAAGUAACAUUGAGCCUGACAAGUAUCUGGAUGGGUUAUUGUUUGGGAAUACCAGA